This 4878-nucleotide unclassified non-coding RNA is filed under the name Lingula anatina. RNAcentral's name for it is "putative pyridoxal-dependent decarboxylase domain- containing protein 2, transcript variant X4". Lineage: Eukaryota; Metazoa; Brachiopoda; Lingulata; Lingulida; Lingulidae. The record is from RNAcentral.
GUGGCACUCCGACGUGUAACCAGAGAAAAAUGGCCGACGAAAACAAACCUCUUUUGAAACUCGGGUUGGAAGGCGGCGCUCAGGAUAGCGGUGGAGAGGAAAGCAUCAAGAGCGUCGAGGACGUAAAAGUAGUUGAUGUCAAAAAAUGGUCCCAAAAGUCCAAGAAAUAAAACAACAGCUAAAUCACCGAGAAGCCAAAGUUCUUCCAAACCAACGACUCCCAGGGGCGGUGAUAACCCAAAGGCUAAGACCAAAGAGGAUGAUUCACAAAUGGCGAGAGAUUUAAGAAGGGUAUGGAUGAAUCCCAUGUUAGCUGAGCUGGAAAGGAAAAUACAAGAGAAUAACAGAGUCAUGGAUGAAAUGAAUAGGAAGUGGAGAGAGGAAAAAGAAGCAGAAAGAAAAUUAAGAUUAAGUGAACACAUUCCAGAGCCACUGAAGGGACAUGGACAAAAUUUGGAAGACAUAAUUAAACAUUUGGAAGACCUUAUGGUUUAUGAAAAUUAUGUGGAUGGCCUAGAAGAACAAAAAUUAAUACCUGCAAAGUUAAGAUUACUGGAUGAAAAUGCAGAGGUGGCCAUCCUGUCGCAUGGCUUGUCAGCAUACGUCUCUCUGCUUGAACCCUCUCAUUUAAAACAUUUCACCAAUAAUAUAGUAGAGGACACUUCCCUGUGGCUCUCACGGAUGUUCAGAUUUGAUGAUGCAGCAGUGUUCUACCACGAGGACGAGAGAGAAGGCUUAAUCAGGCUGUGCCGUCUUGCCCUGCACAAAAAGUUUCCCAAAUACUUGGAUGAGGGCUAUGAAGCCCUAUACUCCAGGCCCCCUGUGAUAUACCUCAGCUCUGCAGCCAAAGCUGGGAUGGGAGAUUAUCUGUGUGCACAGCUUGGAUUGCCCAGUUCAUGUCUCAGUACAAUUCCCUGCAGCAUACAACCAGGCUGUCAGCAUAAAAUGGAUACAACAGCAUUAGAGCAACAAGUGGAGGAUGAUGUCACGUCAGCCAGGACACCACUACUGGUGUUAGGAUAUGCAGGUACUCCUGUCAUUGCUCAGGUUGAUGACAUAGAAAAGAUUCAGAGCAUUUGUAAAAAGCACCAGAUUUGGUUUCAUGUGGAAGGUCAUCACUUGGCCACCUUAGCCAUGUACUCUGUCCCAACCAAUGUGUCACCAGUGAAGACCGGAGACAGUAUCACUCUAAACCUGGGCUGCUGGCUGGGUCUGCCCUCUUUGCCUUAUGUGACCUUAUAUAAAACUGCUGACAGCACCCAGGCCUACCAUGCUGGCCUGACAUCUUUACAGACACACUACAAGCUCAGUUGUCUUCCCAUAUGGGUGUGUCUACAAAACCUGGGGCACGAAGGGGUGGUCAACAGGAUCAAAUUAUCAGUAGACUUGGCAGAGAAAAUGCAUGAAAAAUUGAUGGGACACAGUUCACUUCAGGAAGUGAGUAACACAGUUAAGCCUGCUGACAAGGACCCCAAUGAAACAUCUUUAAGGUCACGUAUCAGUAAAGCUGUUGUCAAUUUUUUGACUUAUGAAAUCUCUUCCCCAAGUGUGGUAUUUAAGUACAGUUGUUAUGCGUCAGAUGCGCCGCCAGAAGUAGCCUCUUAUGCAAAAAAUGCACCAAAACCCGUCAAAAUUCCAGCAAAGAUGCCCGAGCGUGCCCCAUAUGCAGCUCAAGAAACUUCUGCCAACCAUGUUCCCAGCAGCACUCAAUCAGAGGAUGGCGCUGAACCCCCCACUAUGAGUGUGGGCACAGAAGAGAGUUACAGACAUGAAGAUUAUUUUGAUGCCCUUAACAUUUGGCUUGCUGAAACUCUAAAGAGGGAAGUGUCUACAGUGCACCUGGACACCAUUGAAGUUCCAAAUGAAGGACUGUGUAUCAGGUUUUCACCACUGGAAAAUGCACAAGUCCAAGGAACAACAUUGGAAGAUAUGGAGGUGUGGGGGAAAUCUCUAGGCAAGCAAGUGUCCAUUCUGAAUGCCACAGUGAAGCAGAAGGAGAACUUCCAGGAGGUUGUGGAGGCCCAGGAUAACCUGAGGCUUGUCCACCUGCCCACCUGGGCUGGACUGGGAGCAGUGCAAUACAUUCCAGACCACUGGAUAGACAAAUUGGAUGCUCUGACGGCUGCUGCUAAAAGAGAGAUCAAUCACCUCAACACUGAACUAGUCAAACAACUCAAAUCUAGUGACACUGCAUUUUCAUUAGGUAGAGCAGAGGAUGGUUUGGUGUGUGCAAGGUUUGGUCUCAUCACUGAGGAGACAGACAUGGAAGAGCUGAUAGGACUGGUCUACACUACUGCCAAAGAAAUUGAAGAAUCAUCCAAAUUCCUGGAGAAGAUGUCAGAAAUUGUCAGGAAAGGUAUAGAGGCAGCCAAUGAAGAUCUGAAGAAAGAAAAUGAAGAAAAACUUAUACAGGAGGGCCUUUUACGCCAUGUUCCACUUGUGGGGUCACUGGUCAGCUGGUGGUCACCUCCUCCCAAGGAGACGGGGGUCAAGGGAAGGACAUUUAAUCUGGCGUCAGGUAAGGUCCACAGCACGGAGGAGACCUAUAAGUACCACAUGCAGAUCCAAGAGGCCUCCCCAGAUGCUCUUCAACCCAAGCCAAAGCAGGGCCCCCUGAAGGCUAACCUCAAACCAGCCCGGCACCACAGCACCAGCAGUCAGGGUUCCGUGGUAGAGAAUGGGCCUGCACAGGGACUCAAGGUGACAGAGUCCAGUGUGUCUAGCCUCAGUUCAGACUCUCACAGCAAGCCAGAGCAAGGAGUGGAGGGUGGAGAGGCCAGUCCUCCUCCCCAGCCAGAACCACCUGCUUCGCCAGUUCCCAAGGAGCAGCCUGCUGCGGCAGCAGAGAGCACUUCUUAAAUGCAACAAAGCAGCUACAAGAGGGGCAGGUUUUCAUAGUGGAAGAAAGACACUAAAACACAUGAUAUCAGCUGUGAAUGUUUGAGGGGUGGUGAAAACAACAAUUAUCAUUUUAAAUUAAUUGUGGGUGCAUAUCAAACAGUGGGGACAUUGCUGUUCAAGGUUUCUAAGAGGUUUAUUUUUACUGGAGGUUUAUUUCAUUACUAAGUCAAACUUGUCAAGGUUAUAAAAUAGAAAAAGGAAAAACAACCUGUAGUUUUAUUUAACAGGUAGUUACAGGGGAUCUUUUUAUGGUAUUUUAUGCAUGGUUUCUAUGCACAUCUACUGUUCAAGGGCACACUGCUUAUUAUAUCUGUGAUCAGAAAUUGACAAAGGAUAUUUGGCUGGUUCAUGUCAUUGGGAGAGAUUUAGCUGCGUCAUGGUGAUGCAUUAGUUCAUGGAUUCGAGUUAGAUAGGGCUGCAUCAAGGUGAGGUUAUGAGGCCAUGGGCGGAGUUUGCAGUUGUGGUGCAGAGGUGUCAUGCCGCGGGAGAAGUUUAGACUCGUGCUAAAGAGGUGCCAUGCCGAGGGAGGAGUUUGGAGUCAAUAGUGGUGUAUAUAUUGAUUGAAUACUUGGUGCAGAGUCUCUCAGGAUCAUGAUCAUCAUUGCAAGGCCUGAUGUCAUGAUGUUUUUGUAGAGGGAGAAAAAAGGGCUCUUAAGGGGAUUAAAAUUUUGGCAGGGGCAUGGUCUGUUAGCAAAAGACAACUUUAAGGUUUAUCAUCAUUUAAGACAGACAGGUAUUUUGAAACUGGUGUUGUGAAGAAUUACAGCAUUAAAAAGCUCUAUACUUUGAUUUUAAGGCAUAAUUCAUCUGAAUUUCACAUCAACUAUCAAAUCUGCAGGAAGGCCAUUGGAUAAGAUUUGGAUAGAAAUGAUUCAUCAAGGGGUCACUCAGUUACAUUUUGUUUUGCAAAAUUUGAAGACAUUUAUAACAUUUAGUGCCUUUUUUCUUUGACAAAUAGAAAAGUUGCUGUUAAGGUGCAUACAGUGUGAUUGUAAAAUGCAGUAAAACUUAAACAUUCCAAAAACAGUUUGUAUUUCACAUAUGUAAUCCUUGUCAUGGUCAUUGCUUUAAGGGUGCUAUUGUGUCUUUUCACUCAGUUUUUGGUUAUAUUUAAAAUGUAAAGUUCAAAUAGUAGACAAGUGAAUUCAAUUUUGAGAGCACAAAGCAACACAGACACCAAUUCAGCAGCUAAUUUGAGCUUUAAAUGUAACUUUUUUUUACUAAAUGUUACAUCUAGGAUGUUGUUGUUAAUUUCCUGACUGUGAUACAUAUUGCUAUUAUCUGCUGAAUACAUCUGAUGUAUUGUGAGUGUUUGAUAACUUUUUUGCUAACAUUGCUUUGAUAUGUAAUAUUCUCUUAGUAACACUCUUCCAAGAUUUGCAGUUCUCCACCGUCUGCAAGUCUAUGUAUGUCUAAAUGCAAACAGUUUUAAUGAACAUUUCAACAUGAAGCAGUGUUAUCCAGGUGUUGUAUGUAAUACUAAAUAGUAGCAGGUGUCUCAGUGAUCAGCAUCAAGUAAAGUUUCCAAAGUAGCCUUUUGUAAAGACUAGAAAAAGAUGUACAAUAAAAUACACCAAAAGUGAUGCCAGUGUAUUACUGGUAUGCAAGUAAAAUGACUGGAAAGGCUUUAGGUUAUUAUAUUUUUACAAGUUUUGUUAUGUUUGGUUGUUGCAGUAUUGUUGCAAUGGGACUUGUUAAAAUAAUAUUGUGGAGAUUUCAUGUUUUUUAAGUAUGUGUGGUGUUGAUUACUGUAAUAAGUAGGUCUAUUUCUGAGAUCUUAAUAGCCUUGUCUUCUUUGUUUUGUAUUCUGUUACUUGCGGGUUUUGAUAUCUGAUUUCAUAAUUGUUUUUUGUUUUUGUUUUUUGUUUUUUUCAUCAGCAGUAAUAUGGCAGGUUUAAAUUGAGAACCAGGGCACAGAUACAAAUAGGUCAUAGCAGUAUGAAAAUAAUAUUAUGGGAAUAAAAAUGUCUUUUCAUG